CCAGCAGCCGCGGUAAUUCCAGCUCCAAUAGCGUAUAUUAAAGUUGUUGCAGUUAAAAAGCUCGUAGUUGAAUUUCUGGGAGGUUCCAGUCGCAUGCUUCAUUGCAUGUCGUGCUGUUGGAUCUCCCCUCCUCGCAGGGAAGGCUGUGCCGUUAAUUCGGGGCAGACUGGAACUGCGUCUUUUACUGUGAAAAAAUUAGAGUGUUUAAAGCAGGCUUUUCAAGCUUGAAUACAUUAGCAUGGAAUAAUAAGAUAGGACUUCGGUCUAUUUUGUUGGUUGCGGAUCGAGGUAAUGAUUAAUAGGGAUAGUUGGGGGUAUUCAUAUUUAAUUGUCAGAGGUGAAAU
This 344-nucleotide ribosomal RNA is filed under the name uncultured eukaryote. RNAcentral describes it as "SSU rRNA". It matches the Rfam family "Eukaryotic small subunit ribosomal RNA", at positions 567 to 917 of the family's 1831-position model. The record is from RNAcentral.